RNAcentral lists this ribosomal RNA (440 nucleotides) under uncultured bacterium. Its description in RNAcentral is "partial 16S ribosomal RNA". It matches the Rfam family "Bacterial small subunit ribosomal RNA", at positions 338 to 795 of the family's 1533-position model. The record is from RNAcentral.
CCUACGGGUGGCAGCAGUAGGGAAUAUUGCUCAAUGGUGGAAACCCUGAAGCAGCAACGCCGCGUGGAGGAUGAAGGUUUUCGGAUUGUUAACUCCUUUUUUUAGAGAAGAUAAUGACGGUAUCUAACGAAUAAUCACCGGAUAACUCCGUGCCAGCAGCCGCGGUAAUACGGAGGGGGCAAGCGUUACUCGGAAUCACUGGGCGUAAAGAGCGCGUAGGCGGGAUAGCAAGUCAGAUGUGAAAUCCUAUGGCUUAACCAUAGAACUGCAUUUGAAACUGUCAGUCGAGAGUAUGGGAGAGGUAGGUGGAAUGCGCGGUGUAGGGGUAAAAUCCGUAGAGAUCAAGAGGAACACUGAUUGCGAAGGCGACAUGCUAGAACAUAACUGACGCUGAUGCGCGAAAGCGUGGGGAGCGAACAGGAUUAGAUACCCCUGUAGUC